GAUGAACGCUGGCGGCGUGCCUAAUACAUGCAAGUCGAGCGAACAGACGAGGAGCUUGCUCCUCUGACGUUAGCGGCGGACGGGUGAGUAACACGUGGAUAACCUACCUAUAAGACUGAGAUAACUUCGGGAAACCGGAGCUAAUACCGGAUAAUAUAUUGAACCGCAUGGUUCAAUAGUGAAAGACGGUUUUGCUGUCACUUAUAGAUGGAUCCGCGCCGCAUUAGCUAGUUGGUAAGGUAACGGCUUACCAAGGCAACGAUGCGUAGCCGACCUGAGAGGGGGAUCGGCCACUCUGGAACUGAGACACGGUCCAGACUCCUACGGGAGGCAGCAGUAGGGAAUCUUCCGCAAUGGGCGAAAGCCUGACGGAGCAACGCAGCGUGAGUGAUGAAGGUCUUCGGAUCGUAAAACUCUGUUAUUAGGGAAAAACAAAUGUGUAAGUAACUAUGCACGUCUUGACGGUACCUAAUCAGAAAGCCACGGCUAACUACGUG
RNAcentral lists this ribosomal RNA (497 nucleotides) under uncultured bacterium. Its description in RNAcentral is "partial 16S ribosomal RNA". It matches the Rfam family "Bacterial small subunit ribosomal RNA", at positions 28 to 507 of the family's 1533-position model. The record is from RNAcentral.